Molecule: RNA transcript, 1364 nt
Organism: Ficedula albicollis (Collared flycatcher)
Lineage: Eukaryota; Metazoa; Chordata; Aves; Passeriformes; Muscicapidae
Gene: SRSF3
Gene name: serine/arginine-rich splicing factor 3
Exons: 7
Source: RefSeq, a predicted model, not a curated record
GCCAUUUUGUCCAGUGAGGAAAAGCGGAGUUGGGGUUUCUCUGAGGGUCGAGUCGGCUGAGUUUAGCGCGAACUCGCUUCGCGUGCCCUCCCUCUGAGCACCGCAAUGCAUCGUGACUCUUGUCCGCUGGACUGCAAGGUCUAUGUGGGUAACCUUGGAAACAAUGGCAACAAAACUGAAUUAGAGCGAGCUUUUGGCUACUAUGGACCACUGCGCAGUGUAUGGGUGGCAAGAAAUCCUCCUGGUUUUGCCUUUGUGGAAUUUGAAGAUCCCCGAGAUGCAGCUGAUGCAGUUAGAGAACUAGAUGGAAGAACCCUGUGCGGCUGUCGAGUCCGAGUGGAGCUCUCCAACGGGGAGAAGCGCAGUCGGAACCGCGGCCCCCCUCCGUCGUGGGGCCGGCGCCCUCGGGAUGACUAUCGCAGGAGGAGUCCCCCUCCUCGCCGCAGAUCACCACGAAGGAGAAGCUUUUCCCGGAGCCGCAGCAGGUCCCUCUCCAGAGACAGAAGAAGAGAGAGAUCACUCUCACGGGAAAGGAACCACAAGCCUUCUCGCUCCUUUUCCAGGUCUCGCAGUCGCUCCAGGUCAAAUGAGAGGAAAUAGGACUGUGGGAAGGAGCUGUGUACAGGAAGUCAUGAGAUCCGAAGCCAGGAGUAUGUACAGAACAUUGUUUUGUUUCGAAACUUCAUAAAGCUUGGUGCAUUUUUAAAAUGUUUUAGCCGUUGAACUUGCUUUGUUCCUUGUAUCUUGUAACAGGUGGCAAAUGUAAAGAUGUGAAUCUGUAUAUGGUUCUGAGCAGAUCCUAUGAUUUGUAAUAUUAAUGGUUUUCCAAUGUACCAUUAGACAUGGAGUGUGUGUGUGGAAUGGCAAACGGUCUGUGUGAUGUGGCUGGGAGAGCAUGGCUGGGGUGGGGGUUGCUGGGGCUCAGCUGGAGGAAUGUGUGUUCCUUGUGGAAUCAGGCCAGGAGCAGAGCAGCACAUGGGUGCUCCACAGCCCAUCUGGGAAGGAGAGUAGUGAGCCAGUAGCACAGGGGAAGGGGAGGGAAAGGGUUGCGGGCUGCAGCUUCAUCCAGGUCCAGUUGACUGAGCUGCUUUAUAUUCCAUGAAAAAAAACUUAGCUAUAGGGUCAGUUAAUUUUGUACUUGAUAUAAGUAGAGUCCUUAAUUAGAUAACUGUUGGUUGACCAUGUAUUCCAGAAGCUCUGAAAAGACCAAAUCCACAGCAGAACUGACACCUGGAGUGGAUGUGUUGUGUCUAAUGGUACAUUGUAAACAUUAGUUAUUAAACAUUUCUUUACUGUACAAGAAUUUUCAUGUCACUUGUAAAAUGUCUUUUGUGAGAUCCUUGGGAUUAAAGUUUUGGUUACAA